RNAcentral lists this long non-coding RNA (1300 nucleotides) under Panax ginseng (ginseng). RNAcentral's name for it is "long non-coding RNA (PGIN_LNC014781)". Lineage: Eukaryota; Viridiplantae; Streptophyta; Magnoliopsida; Apiales; Araliaceae. The record is from RNAcentral.
UAAAUAUUAAAUACGAAACUUUACGAGAUACAUGUUGGUGAAACUUAAUGUUUCAAGUAAACACAACCAAAAAAACACUUUAAAACUUUUCCAUAAAUAAAGGGUGGCAUACCUAUAGUUUUUACCCAAAUUCAGUAACUUUUAAUCACACACUAUAAAAUUCUUGUAAGGGACUAAUUGAGAAAAUGCAGGAGAGGGGAAGGGGAAGUGUACUAAUCAUUUAUAAACUCUCAACAAUCAGCACUUAAAUUGUUGUUAGUAAAAAUAAAAAUAAAUAACAAAACAUCAUCCACAUGGUGAACAUACUAUCAAAUUUACCACCAACUCAUCAUACUAGUAAUCCACUACACCCUUGUUAAAAGUUUGAAGUAAGAAUAACACUCGAUACAAUAAAAUAAUUACAAAAUUGAAAAAAUAACUCAUUCAUAAUCUCUAUCACAACAUACAUAUAUUAUGAUUUGAGUUAGUUGUCAAGAUGAACCAGAGCCAAAAAUUACAAAGAAUGAGCACUUAACCAGAUGCAUAACAAAGAAAAGUGAAAAAUAAAACACCAUCAACAUGAUGGACAUACCAUCACAGCGACAAACUCGUUAUACCACAAAAUCCACUAUCCUGUUGUUAAAAUUUAAAGUAAAACUAACACUCAAUACAAUAAAAUAAUUACUUAUUAAAUAAGAAAAAUAACUCAUCCACGAUCUCUAUCACAACAAACAUCUAUUACCAUUAUAGGCAGUUGUCACAAUAAACUAUAACCAACCAUCACAAGCAAAUAAAACGUGAACAAUUGUAGAAGAAAGAAAAGUUAAUAAUAAAACAUCAUCGUUGAACAUAUCAUCACAUCCAUCAAGUCAUCAUGCUACUAAUCCACUACCUAAAUAUUAAAAGCAAGUUUAACAUUCAAUACAAUAAAAUAAAUAUUAAAUACAAAAAAUAAUUAAUCCAAUCUCUUUACCAUAACAUGCAUCAAACUCUUGAUAGUUGUCAAUAUUAACCAAAAGCCAAACAUCACAAGCAAAGAGCACCUCGGUUGAAGCAGAAAAGUGAAUAAUAAAACUCUACAUGAUGAACAUACCAUCACAUCCACUAACUCAUCAUGACACUAAUCCACUAUCCCCUUAUUAGUAUGAUUAACACUCGAUACAAUAAAAUAAGUACUAAAUACAAAACUAACUUAUCCACGAUCUACAUCAGAACAUAUUUAUUAUGAUUUUAGAGUUAGUUGUCAAAAUAAACCAGAGCCAAGCAUUACAUGAAAGAGCACUUAACCAGUUGCAACACAAAGAAAAGCGAAAAAUAAAAC